This is a long non-coding RNA of Myotis myotis, 1100 nucleotides long. RefSeq lists it as uncharacterized. Lineage: Eukaryota; Metazoa; Chordata; Mammalia; Chiroptera; Vespertilionidae. The record is from RefSeq and is a predicted model, not a curated record. The transcript is spliced from 2 exons.
UCGCCCGGGAGAGCCGCCGCCAAAGCCCAGCAGCUGAUCAGCUGGGAUCCGGGCGUGCCACUUUGUUCAGCUCCUCAAAGGAAGCGAGUGGGGCUGGGAGCAAACCUAAAACGCAGGCUCUCGCUCGGCGACGGGCCUGAGGCUUUCUUAUUCCUGGGACUUUUAAAAUCUGAGGCAAACUUACCUUCCCCCAUCCCUACGUCUGAAGAAGGGGAGCCGACUUCUGAUUACGGGGGGGCGCGUUGCCCCCCACACACGUGAAUGGGGAGCUCUGACCUCGUCAGUGAUGGAAAUGGAUGAGUGACCAAAGAAGUUUGAGCCACUAAGAAAUGAGUCCUUUGGCUCCCCGUGUCUUGUGUUCGGAAACUCAUGCUGAGCUCCAGCCAAACGUAACCUGAAGGCGAUUGUUGGUGACUAAUUUCAACACACGGAGGAACCUUGCACCAGACCGCCUGGAGAGGACCCACAGCCGAGGUCCUUAUGGGUGAACUUCUAAGUCCCUGAUACUUCCAGGAAGGAAGGUUUUCUGGCUUUUUUUAGAAAUAGCUGCUGUGUACCCCGACCCUUGUGGGGACACCAGAUCGAUUUUAUUACCAAAUGUUCUUUAAUUUCUGUAGAUACCGUUCCCGUUAGUGCUCUGCGGACUUAGUAUCGUUGAUGUGGCUUCUGGCAUCUAAAGAGCAAGGGUCACAUUUAGCUUAGCCUCUCCCUAAAGAUGCUAUUGAUGAUGAAGACAAAUGAUGGUGAAAAGUCAAACCAUUUAAUGCUGAAUCACCCCCAAAUGUGAGUGCUGGUUUAUUUGGGAUAAGCAUUUAGUUUCGACUUUGUGGAUUUUCACAAACCUUCAGUAACUAUUUCUGUGAAAAGUCCAUAGAAUGAAUGAAGCCAUACAGCACACCUAGCUCUCACUGGACUCAUACUGCCCUUAAAUCUUCACUUAAACUGACAUAAAAUUGCCACAUUUGUGGAAGACUUACAGCCGAUAAGUUUAACGAACUGAGAUUAAGUAGACUAUUGACAUCUUAAUUUUCUUUUCUAUAUUGAAAAGGAAACCCUAAAUCCAAAAGGAUAUUUUAAUAUAAAAUGUGAUUGUCAUCUUA